CGAGCGAACUGAUUAGAAGCUUGCUUCUAUGACGUUAGCGGCGGACGGGAGAGUAACACGUGGGCAACCUGCCUGUAAGACUGGGAUAACUCCGGGAAACCGGAGCUAAUACCGGAUAACAUUUUUUCUUGCAUAAGAGAAAAUUGAAAGAUGGUUUCGGCUAUCACUUACAGAUGGGCCCGCGGUGCAUUAGCUAGUUGGUGAGGUAACGGCUCACCAAGGCAACGAUGCAUAGCCGACCUGAGAGGGUGAUCGGCCACACUGGGACUGAGACACGGCCCAGACUCCUACGGGAGGCAGCAGUAGGGAAUCUUCCGCAAUGGACGAAAGUCUGACGGAGCAACGCCGCGUGAGUGAUGAAGGCUUUCGGGUCGUAAAACUCUGUUGUUAGGGAAGAACAAGUACAAGAGUAACUGCUUGUACCUUGACGGUACCUAACCAGAAAGCCACGGCUAACUACGUGCCAGCAGCCGCGGUAAUACGUAGGUGGCAAGCGUUAUCCGGAAUUAUUGGGCGUAAAGCGCGCGCAGGCGGUUUCUUAAGUCUGAUGUGAAAGCCCACGGCUCAACCGUGGAGGGUCAUUGGAAACUGGGGAACUUGAGUGCAGAAGAGAAAAGCGGAAUUCCACGUGUAGCGGUGAAAUGCGUAGAGAUGUGGAGGAACACCAGUGGCGAAGGCGGCUUUUUGGUCUGUAACUGACGCUGAGGCGCGAAAGCGUGG
This 720-nucleotide ribosomal RNA is filed under the name Priestia flexa. RNAcentral's name for it is "bacterial SSU rRNA". It matches the Rfam family "Bacterial small subunit ribosomal RNA", at positions 63 to 764 of the family's 1533-position model. The record is from RNAcentral. Lineage: Bacteria; Bacillati; Bacillota; Bacilli; Caryophanales; Bacillaceae.